Molecule: ribosomal RNA, 492 nt
Filed under: uncultured bacterium
Lineage: Bacteria
Description: partial 16S ribosomal RNA
Rfam family: Bacterial small subunit ribosomal RNA
Source: RNAcentral
AGUGAACGCUGGCGGUAGGCCUAACACAUGCAAGUCGAACGGCAGCACAGUAAGGGCUUGCUCUUACGGGUGGCGAGUGGCGGACGGGUGAGGAAUACAUCGGAAUCUACUUUUUCGUGGGGGAUAACGUAGGGAAACUUACGCUAAUACCGCAUACGACCUACGGGUGAAAGCAGGGGAUCUUCGGACCUUGCGCGAUUGAAUGAGCCGAUGUCGGAUUAGCUAGUUGGCGGGGUAAAGGCCCACCAAGGCGACGAUCCGUAGCUGGCCUGAGAGGAUGAUCAGCCACACUGGAACUGAGACACGGUCCAGACUCCUACGGGAGGCAGCAGUGGGGAAUAUUGGACAAUGGGCGCAAGCCUGAUCCAGCCAUACCGCGUGGGUGAAGAAGGCCUUCGGGUUGUAAAGCCCUUUUGUUGGGAAAGAAAAGCAGCAGGUUAAUACCCCGCUGUUCUGACGGUACCCAAAGAAUAAGCACCGGCUAACUUCGUG